GUCCUCAAGGCCAGGGAUCUCAGGCUCAAUAAAAAAAACUGACCAUUUCACAUCUGUUGAUAUUUUCCAAUUGUCUCAAGUAUUAGCAUCUCACCUUUCACCACAGUUCUCAAACUUCUUGGUCACAGGGUUUUCAGAGGGCUUUCACACAGGUAUUGUAGCAUUACCAUUCGGUAUUACUGAAAGUAAAAAUGUACUAUCUGCUGUCAACGACCCAAGUACAGCUGAUUCACUGUUAACACAGGAACUGAAUCAAGGGUUUGUCAUAGGCCCCUUUUCCACACCCUCAUUCUCUAGUUGGCGUACAAACUUGAUCGGUAUUGUAACGGGGAAACACUCUUCAAAGAAGAGACAGAUCGUAGAUCUUUUUGCACCUUACUCCUCCACCAUUCCCAGUUUAAAUUCAUUAAUCCCUUCGGAAGAAUUCUCAUUGCAGUACACCACGAUAGAUGAAGCAGUACAAACCAUCAUAGUGGCAGUGAUAGGAGCAUGGUUAAUCAACACAGAUAUUGUUAACGCCUUUAAACUGCUCCCUAUUUACCUGUCGCUGUGGCAUCUGCAUGGUAUUAAAUGGAGAAACC
Molecule: non-coding RNA, 581 nt
Organism: Pelobates cultripes (western spadefoot toad)
Lineage: Eukaryota; Metazoa; Chordata; Amphibia; Anura; Pelobatidae
Source: the annotation of a GenBank genome assembly